CAAUCCUCCUCCCCUAGUAGAGGUUGAGCUAGUACAGGGUUCCACCUCACAACCAGUAACAGUCUAUUUCAGCACUUAAUCAGUACUACUGUAUGUUCCACUGUUUAAUAUGAGACAUUUGUGUUUGAGUCUCUGCAUUCUGACAGUACAAUGGCUUUUGAGUGGAUGUCAGCAGAUCAUACAAGUCCAUCAGGAACCAGAGGACCUGGUUCUUUCCCCUGGAUCAUCACUGAAGAUCUCCUGCUCUAUAACCGGAAUAAGUAAUCCAAAUCUCUACUGGUACCACUGGAAUGAAUCAACAGAGUUCACACUGGUGUUCACCUCAGUGGGUACUGGGGUGAUGAAUCCAGCCAGUAAGGGUCAGUUUAAAUCUCACAGACCUAAAGAUCUUCAGAUGGUUCUGGAGUCUGAAGCAGUGAGUGAGAUCGGCUCAGCAGUGUGGUACUGUGCAGCCAGAAGCCACAGUAUCCCAGUCUCAUCAGAGAGCUGUACAAAAACCACAACUGUUCAGUAGGCCUAGGACUACUGUCAAAUACAUCUUUUUGGAUGCAUUUCACAUGGUUAAGAUUACAGGACCUUAACUGAGCAAAGCAUGACUGUAAUUAAUGUAGUCAUGUGUUUCCAUCAUCAACAGUGAAUGCGAAUAAAUGAGUGUAGUGUGACAUUUUAGGGUGAGUGAGUCAACAGGAAGCAAGCAAACAAUUAAACAAGAAAUUCUGAUUUGUAACAGAGAUGAAAGUGUUUGUUUUUCUCACAGCUCAUAUUUGUUCCAGUGUUGCUUUUUUCCAAGCUACUGAUUUUCCCCUAU
Molecule: non-coding RNA, 808 nt
Organism: Ictalurus punctatus (channel catfish)
Lineage: Eukaryota; Metazoa; Chordata; Actinopteri; Siluriformes; Ictaluridae
Source: the annotation of a RefSeq genome assembly